AAUUCAGCUGCCUCCCAGGGUGAAUACAGGUAUUCCUGAUGACAGUCUGCCUCUAUCUUACAGAGCAGCUUGUUGCUAUAUACCAUUGAAAAGCCUUCAGAGCUGAGAGGUACUACUAACCAAUAACCUGCUUGGCUCAAAGGGCCAGCACCUUCUCUCUAAAGCCCAAGAGGAGUUUGAGGAAAACUAGGUGUCUGUGUUCACUCCAGGCUGAAGUUACAGGUGAGUAAACCUAAAUGUAAGGUGGACUAUGCUAAAAAUUCCCAAUGAAGAAACUUUCACAUGUCUUACUCUCUGUCCUAGUCCCAGAGCCUGUAAAGGUGAACCCACUGGGACUGGCUGGGGGAGAAGAGGAAGAUUUGUUCCAGAAGGAACUGUCUGAGGGAUGAUAAAGAUUUCUAUACAGAGAAAGGGAGUAAUCAUCACUUGUUGAAAACAUUGGUUUUAUUUUUUCCAGGUCUGAGCAAAUAAGG
Molecule: long non-coding RNA, 473 nt
Filed under: Homo sapiens (human)
Lineage: Eukaryota; Metazoa; Chordata; Mammalia; Primates; Hominidae
Description: HSALNT0363134
Rfam family: Small nucleolar RNA SNORD22 (bases 262-387)
Source: RNAcentral